CUCUGUGCCAGCAGCCGCGGUAAUACAGAGGUCUCAAGCGUUGUUCGGAAUCACUGGGCGUAAAGCGCGCGCAGGUGGUUUCUUAAGUCUGAUGUGAAAGCCUACGGCUUAACCGUAGAAUUGCAUUGGAAACUGGGGGACUUGAGUGCAGAAGAGGAAAGUGGAAUUCCACGUGUAGCGGUGAAAUGCGUAGAGAUGUGGAGGAACACCGGUGGCGAAGGCGACUUUCUGGUCUGCAACUGACACUGAGGCGCGAAAGCGUGGGGAGCAAACA
RNAcentral lists this ribosomal RNA (274 nucleotides) under uncultured bacterium. Its description in RNAcentral is "partial 16S ribosomal RNA". It matches the Rfam family "Bacterial small subunit ribosomal RNA", at positions 501 to 774 of the family's 1533-position model. The record is from RNAcentral.